CCGUUGUGGUUGCCGAAGGCGGCAAAAUCAUAUAAAAGGGCUAUGGCUGUUUGUUUAUGCUAAAUCAUUCCAAAACUCACAAUGAAGGUCCUACUGUUCGUUAUUGUCGCCAUGGCUGCAGUUUUCUGGUCUCCAGUUGCUGCCCAAUUUUGCGAAGCUCCAUAUUCAUGUGUAAACCUUUGCGUGUUCGGUGCCGGUCCUGGAAUCUGCCCGUCUGGACAGACCUGUUGCGGAUUGGGAUUAGGCGGAAAGUAAGGCGGACGUUCACUACCAAAUUUCUGGCGAUUGUAUACGAUAAAUGGCUUUUUGAGUUAAACAUUCCAAUUAAAAUAAAUUUAUAAAAGUA
Long non-coding RNA from Photinus pyralis (common eastern firefly), 346 nucleotides. RefSeq lists it as uncharacterized. The record is from RefSeq and is a predicted model, not a curated record. Lineage: Eukaryota; Metazoa; Arthropoda; Insecta; Coleoptera; Lampyridae. The transcript has 2 exons.